Long non-coding RNA from Cyphomyrmex costatus, 245 nucleotides. RefSeq lists it as uncharacterized. The record is from RefSeq and is a predicted model, not a curated record. NCBI's taxonomy places the organism in Eukaryota, Metazoa, Arthropoda, Insecta, Hymenoptera, Formicidae. The transcript is spliced from 3 exons.
AUCCAAGUAGGUCCGGAGGGAUUCACGUUCAGGAUAUUCCAAGCCGGAGAGAAGGACACUCAGCCGGAAUGCGAUCAGAUGACAGAAUUAAGGUGCAGAAGCGGCGAAUGCGUACCUCUAGAAUCUCGCUGCGAUGGCGUAUCGCAAUGCAACGAUAGUUCCGAUGAGGACAACUGCCCAACAGAUUUAUUGAAUAAGACACGUGACGAUUUUGAAUACACCACCGUGACAUCACAACAUCCCUC